UGGGGAAUAUUGGACAAUGGGCGAAAGCCUGAUCCAGCAAUGCCGCGUGAGUGAUGAAGGCCUUAGGGUUGUAAAGCUCUUUCAGUAGGGAAGAUAAUGACGGUACCUACAGAAGAAGCACCGGCUAACUUCGUGCCAGCAGCCGCGGUAAUACGAAGGGUGCUAGCGUUGUUCGGAAUUACUGGGCGUAAAGCGCGCGUAGGUGGUUUAGUAAGUUGGAAGUGAAAUCCCUGAGCUUAACUUAGGAAUUGCUUUCAAAACUACUAAGCUGGAGUAUGGUAGGGGAUAGCGGAAUUCCUAGUGUAGAGGUGAAAUUCGUAGAUAUUAGGAGGAACACCAGAGGCGAAAGCGGCUAUCUGGGCCAUUACUGACACUAAGGCGCGAAAGCGUGGGGAGCAAACAGG
This 404-nucleotide ribosomal RNA is filed under the name uncultured bacterium. RNAcentral's name for it is "bacterial SSU rRNA". It matches the Rfam family "Bacterial small subunit ribosomal RNA", at positions 355 to 776 of the family's 1533-position model. The record is from RNAcentral.